AGCCCUGUAGUGAUUAUCACAUCAAAUUGCAAAUUUGAAGACGUCCCAUUUUGGUUCCAGGGCUU
This 65-nucleotide transfer RNA is filed under the name Bavayia occidentalis. RNAcentral's name for it is "tRNA-Cys". The record is from RNAcentral. Lineage: Eukaryota; Metazoa; Chordata; Lepidosauria; Squamata; Diplodactylidae.